AAAAACAUCGCUCUUUGUUCACUUAACAUAAAGAGUCGAACCUGCCCAGUGAUUUAAUUUAACGGCCGCGGUACUCUGACCGUGCAAAGGUAGCAUAAUCAUUUGCCUUAUAAUUGAAGGCUAGUAUGAAUGGUUUGACAAGAAUAGUACUGUCUCUAUAUAAAUUUUAUAGAAUUUGGUUUUUAGGUGAAGAAACCUAAAUAAAAUUGAAAGACAAGAAGACCCUAUCGAGCUUGAAAUAACUUUUUUGAAGUUUAUAGCAAAACUAAUUUCAUUAAAAAAUUUUGGUUGGGGCGACUAAGGAACAUUUAAAGCUUCCUAUAAAAUAUAUAAACUUAUAUGUUUUGAUCCAAAAAUUUUGAUUAACAGAAUUAGUUACCGUAGGGAUAACAGCAUAAUCUUUUUUAAGAGUUCUUAUCGAAAAAAAGGUUUGUGACCUCGAUGUUGGACUAGGAUAUCCAGAAAGGUGCAGAAGCCUUCAAUGGUUGGUCUGUUCGACCAUUAAUAUCCUACGUGAUCU
RNAcentral lists this ribosomal RNA (520 nucleotides) under Hauffenia wienerwaldensis. RNAcentral's name for it is "partial large subunit ribosomal RNA". It matches the Rfam family "Bacterial large subunit ribosomal RNA", at positions 1809 to 2606 of the family's 2925-position model. Lineage: Eukaryota; Metazoa; Mollusca; Gastropoda; Littorinimorpha; Hydrobiidae. The record is from RNAcentral.